GGUCGACGACCGGCGCACGGGUGAGUAACGCGUAUGCAACCUACCUUUUACAGGAGGAUAGCCCAGAGAAAUUUGGAUUAAUACUCCAUAGUACUAAUGAAUCACCUGGUUUAUUAGUUAAAACUCCGGUGGUAAAAGAUGGGCAUGCGUGUCAUUAGCUAGUUGGUAAGGUAACGGCUUACCAAGGCGAAGAUGACUAGGGGUUCUGAGAGGAAGACCCCCCACACUGGUACUGAGACACGGACCAGACUCCUACGGGAGGCAGCAGUGAGGAAUAUUGGUCAAUGGGUGAGAGCCUGAACCAGCCAUGCCGCGUGAAGGAAGACUGCCCUAUGGGUUGUAAACUUCUCUACUGCAGGAAGAAAUCACUCUACGUGUAGGGUGUUGCCGGUACUGCAGGAAUAAGCAUCGGCUAACUCCGUGCCAGCAGCCGCGGUAAUACGGAGGAUGCAAGCGUUAUCCGGAUUUAUUGGGUUUAAAGGGUGCGUAGGCGGGCUUGUAAGUCAGUGGUGAAAUGCUGUGGCUUAACCAUAGAAUUGCCAUUGAAACUGCAAGUCUUGAGUACAGUUGAGGUGGGCGGAAUGAGUAAAUGUAGCGGUGAAAUGCAUAGAUAUUACUCAAGAACUCCGAUUGCGUAGGCAGCUUGCUAAACUGUAACUGACGCUGAUGCACGAAAGCGUGGGGAGCGAACAGGAUUAGAUACCCUGGUAGUCCACGCUGUAAACGAUGAGCACUGGUUGUUGGCAAUACACCGUCCGAGACUGAGCGAAAGUAUUUAGUGCUCCACCUGGGGAGUACUUCGGCUACGAUGAAACUCUAAGGAAUUUACGUGGGCCCGCACAAGCGGAGGAACAUGUGGUGUAAUUCGAUGAUACGCGAGGAACCUUACCUGGGCUUAAAUGUAGAGUGCAUUGCUUGGAAACAGGCAUUUUCUUCGGAACUCUUUACA
RNAcentral lists this ribosomal RNA (949 nucleotides) under uncultured organism. RNAcentral's name for it is "bacterial SSU rRNA". It matches the Rfam family "Bacterial small subunit ribosomal RNA", at positions 86 to 1035 of the family's 1533-position model. The record is from RNAcentral.